RNAcentral lists this ribosomal RNA (253 nucleotides) under uncultured bacterium. RNAcentral's name for it is "partial 16S ribosomal RNA". It matches the Rfam family "Bacterial small subunit ribosomal RNA", at positions 524 to 776 of the family's 1533-position model. The record is from RNAcentral.
UACAGAGGUUCCAAGCGGUGUUCGGAUUCACUGGGCGUAAAGGGUGCGCAGGCGGUCGGGUAAGUCUUAUGGGAAAUCUCCGGGCUCAACCCGGAAAGGGCAUUGGAUACUAUCCGGCUGGAGGGUUGCAGGGGGGACUGGAAUUCUCGGUGUAGCAGUGAAAUGCGUAGAUAUCGAGAGGAACACCCGUGGCGAAGGCAAGUCCAUGGGCACUUCCUGACGCUCAUGCACGAACGCUAGGGGAGCAAACAGG